This 208-nucleotide unclassified non-coding RNA is filed under the name Hevea brasiliensis (rubber tree). The record is from RNAcentral. Lineage: Eukaryota; Viridiplantae; Streptophyta; Magnoliopsida; Malpighiales; Euphorbiaceae.
GCAUUCCAUAUCCUUCUAUAAUCCUUUUAUUUCAUAGGGUUUAGUGUUGAUUCGUGUCCAUCCUCACUCCCGCUGUUGUUUCGUUUAGCAUUACUUGGGGUUCAAAUGGGUUUGUGUUAAUGGGAUCGUUUGUUGUGUUUCCUCAGGAAAUUUAUAAAUUAUUGUUGAUUUAACCAAUUUAAGACGGAAUGUUUUCUUUUUUUUUUUU